This 250-nucleotide ribosomal RNA is filed under the name uncultured prokaryote. RNAcentral's name for it is "partial 16S ribosomal RNA". It matches the Rfam family "Bacterial small subunit ribosomal RNA", at positions 524 to 772 of the family's 1533-position model. The record is from RNAcentral.
UACGUAGGGGGCAAGCGUUGUCCGGAAUUAUUGGGCGUAAAGAGCUCGUAGGCGGCUCAGCAAGUCGGCUGUGAAAUCCCGAGGCUCAACCUCGGAACUGCAGUCGAUACUGCUGUGGCUAGAGUCUGGUAGAGGAGAAUGGAAUUCCCGGUGUAGCGGUGAAAUGCGCAGAUAUCGGGAGGAACACCAGUAGCGAAGGCGGUUCUCUGGGCCAGUACUGACGCUGAGGAGCGAAAGCGUGGGUAGCAAA